GACGUAGGGCGCGAGCGUUGUCCGGAUUUAUUGGGCGUAAAGAGCUCGUAGGCGGUUUGUCGCGUCGGCCGUGAAAACCUGUGGCUUAACUACAGGCUUGCGGCCGAUACGGGCAGGCUAGAGUUCGGUAGGGGAGACUGGAAUUCCUGGUGUAGCGGUGAAAUGCGCAGAUAUCAGGAGGAACACCGGUGGCGAAGGCGGGUCUCUGGGCCGAUACUGACGCUGAGGAGCGAGAGCGUGGGGAGCGAAC
RNAcentral lists this ribosomal RNA (250 nucleotides) under uncultured bacterium. RNAcentral's name for it is "partial 16S ribosomal RNA". It matches the Rfam family "Bacterial small subunit ribosomal RNA", at positions 524 to 773 of the family's 1533-position model. The record is from RNAcentral.